RNAcentral lists this ribosomal RNA (460 nucleotides) under uncultured bacterium. Its description in RNAcentral is "partial 16S ribosomal RNA". It matches the Rfam family "Bacterial small subunit ribosomal RNA", at positions 338 to 795 of the family's 1533-position model. The record is from RNAcentral.
CCUACGGGAGGCAGCAGUGAGGAAUAUUGGUCAAUGGGCGCGAGCCUGAACCAGCCAAGUAGCGUGAAGGAUGACUGCCCUAUGGGUUGUAAACUUCUUUUAUAAAGGAAUAAAGUGAGGCACGUGUGCCUUUUUGUGUGUACUUUAUGAAUAAGGAUCGGCUAACUCCGUGCCAGCAGCCGCGGUAAUACGGAGGAUCCGAGCUUUAUCCGGAUUUAUUGGGUUUAAAGGGAGCGUAGAUGGGUUGUUAAGUCAGUUGUGAAAGUGUGCGGCUCAACCGUAAAAUUGCAAUUGAUACUGGCAGCCUUGAGUACAGUUGAGGUAGGCGGAAUUCGUGGUGUAGCGGUGAAAUGCUUAGAUAUCACGAAGAACUCCGAUUGCGAAGGCAGCUUACUAAACUGCCACUGACAUUGAUGCUCGAAAGUGUGGGUAUCGAACAGGAUUAGAUACCCCUGUAGUC